UGGGGAAUUGUUCGCAAUGGGCGCAAGCCUGACGACGCAACGCCGCGUGGAGGAUGAAGGUCUUCGGAUUGUAAACUCCUGUUGCCCGGGACGAAACGCUCCGACCUAACACGUUGGAGUCUGACGGUACCGGGUGAGGAAGCCCCGGCUAACUCUGUGCCAGCAGCCGCGGUAAUACAGAGGGGGCUAGCGUUGUUCGGAAUUACUGGGCGUAAAGGGCGCGUAGGUGGCCUGUUAAGUCGAACGUGAAAUCCCCGGGCUCAACCCGGGAACUGCGUCCGAGACUGGCAGGCUCGAAUCCGGGAGAGGGAUGUGGAAUUCCAGGUGUAGCGGUGAAAUGCGUAGAUAUCUGGAGGAACACCGGUGGCGAAGGCGGCAUCCUGGACCGGUAUUGACGCUGAGGCGCGAAAGCCAGGGGAGCAAACGGGAUUAGAUACCCCGGUAGUCCUGGCCCUAAACGAUGAAUGCUUGGUGUGGCGGGUAUCGAUCCCUGCCGUGCCGAAGCUAACGCAUUAAGCAUUCCGCCUGGGGGGUACGGUCGCAAGGCUGC
RNAcentral lists this ribosomal RNA (550 nucleotides) under uncultured Acidobacteriota bacterium. RNAcentral describes it as "bacterial SSU rRNA". It matches the Rfam family "Bacterial small subunit ribosomal RNA", at positions 355 to 897 of the family's 1533-position model. The record is from RNAcentral. Lineage: Bacteria; Pseudomonadati; Acidobacteriota.